UACGUAGGGUGCGAGCGUUGUCCGGAAUUAUUGGGCGUAAAGAGCUUGUAGGCGGUUUGUCGCGUCUGCUGUGAAAAUCCGGGGCUCAGCCCCGGACUUGCAGUGGGUACGGGCAGACUAGAGUGUGGUAGGGGAGACUGGAAGUUCCUGGUGUAGCGGUGGAAUGCGCAGAUAUCAGGAGGAACACCGAUGGCGAAGGGCAAGGGUCUCCUGGGCCAUUACUGACACUGAGAAGCGAAAGCAUGGGGAGCGAACAGGA
This 259-nucleotide ribosomal RNA is filed under the name uncultured bacterium. RNAcentral describes it as "partial 16S ribosomal RNA". It matches the Rfam family "Bacterial small subunit ribosomal RNA", at positions 524 to 777 of the family's 1533-position model. The record is from RNAcentral.